AACAGGGGAGCUUACAGAUAGGCUGAGAGGAAGCUGUGCGCUUCGACCCUAAACCUGAUUUGGAUAAUGCCAACGUAGGGAAUGU
Molecule: non-coding RNA, 85 nt
Filed under: uncultured Phascolarctobacterium sp.
Lineage: Bacteria; Bacillati; Bacillota; Negativicutes; Acidaminococcales; Acidaminococcaceae
Description: TPP riboswitch (THI element)
Rfam family: TPP riboswitch aptamer (THI element)
About the family: Vitamin B(1) in its active form thiamin pyrophosphate (TPP) is an essential coenzyme that is synthesised by coupling of pyrimidine and thiazole moieties in bacteria. The previously detected thiamin-regulatory element, thi box was extended, resulting in a new, highly conserved RNA secondary structure, the THI element, which is widely distributed in eubacteria and also occurs in some archaea. Analysis of operon structures identified a large number of new candidate thiamin-regulated genes, mostly transporters, in various prokaryotic organisms.
Source: RNAcentral